This 21-nucleotide non-coding RNA is filed under the name Caenorhabditis elegans. Lineage: Eukaryota; Metazoa; Nematoda; Chromadorea; Rhabditida; Rhabditidae. The record is from RNAcentral.
UGCAAGUGAAAACCACACUUC